RNAcentral lists this long non-coding RNA (249 nucleotides) under Phoenix dactylifera (date palm). RNAcentral's name for it is "long non-coding RNA (PDAC_LNC006756)". Lineage: Eukaryota; Viridiplantae; Streptophyta; Magnoliopsida; Arecales; Arecaceae. The record is from RNAcentral.
UUCAUAUGAAUAGUGUUACGUAAAAAUACUAUUCAUAUGAACAAUGUUACGGAAAUUUUCUUUGAGUUCACUGUUCUUCUUCUUCCUCCCGUAGUGCAUCACGGUCGUCCAUCUUCCACGGAUCAACUUCUUCCAUUUUCAGCGAUCCCGAAAUCCCAGCAUCCCAUGCGUGACCCCAGCAUCUCACUGCAUCCAAGCUUCCAAAUCAGCCUCUCCAUUCCAACCACAUCCAAGCCUCCAAAUCAGCCC